UAGGGAAUAUUGCUCAAUGGGGGAAACCCUGAAGCAGCAACGCCGCGUGAGUGAUGAAGGCCUUCGGGUCGUAAAGCUCUGUUGUACAAGAAAAAUGAGGGUAUGGCUAACAUCCAUACCCAGUGAUUGUACUGUAUAAGAAAGGACCGGCUAACUUCGUGCCAGCAGCCGCGGUAAGACGGGGGGUCCUAGCGUUGUUCGGAAUCAUUGGGCGUAAAGCGUGUGCAGGUGGUUUGGUAAGUUGGAUGUGAAAGCCUUGGGCUUAACCCAAGAAGUGCAUUCAAAACUCCCAAACUUGAGUAGGGAAGAGGGUCGUGGAAUUCCUGGUGUAGUGGUGAAAUACGUAGAUAUCAGGAGGAACACCGGUGGCGAAGGCGGCGACCUGGUCCUAUACUGACACUCAUACACGAAAGCGUGGGGAUCAAACAGG
Molecule: ribosomal RNA, 430 nt
Filed under: uncultured bacterium
Lineage: Bacteria
Description: bacterial SSU rRNA
Rfam family: Bacterial small subunit ribosomal RNA
Source: RNAcentral